Molecule: ribosomal RNA, 254 nt
Filed under: uncultured bacterium
Lineage: Bacteria
Description: partial 16S ribosomal RNA
Rfam family: Bacterial small subunit ribosomal RNA
Source: RNAcentral
CACGUAGGGUGCGAGCGUUGUCCGGAAUUAUUGGGCGUAAAGAGCUCGUAGGCGGUGUGUCGCGUCGGCCGUGAAAACCUGCAGCUUAACUGUGGGCUUGCGGUCGAUACGGGCAUCACUGGAGUUCGGCAGGGGAGACUGGAAUUCCUGGUGUAGCGGUGAAAUGCGCAGAUAUCAGGAGGAACACCGGUGGCGAAGGCGGGUCUCUGGGCCGGUACUGACGCUGAGGCGCGAAAGCGUGGGGAGCAAACAGG